This is a long non-coding RNA of Ictalurus punctatus (channel catfish), 2901 nucleotides long. The record is from Ensembl. Lineage: Eukaryota; Metazoa; Chordata; Actinopteri; Siluriformes; Ictaluridae.
GAAUACUUGACGUCUGCGCAAUGCGUCUGCAAAAGCGCAGGCGCUGCGUGUGACGUAAGCGAGAGGCGACCAAUGGUGUUGUAGAUGUACGCAGGAAUAUUUGCGCAGUUGCAUAGUGAAGGGUGCAGCCAUUAUUUUUUGGUGCCUCACUGUUAACUACAGGUUGUAGACUAAGCUGAAAAAGAAAUAUACCUGAUACCGCGAAUAUUUCGCUAAGCUCUUUCUUAGCUCUCAAUAAGCAGAGAUUUCUGAGCACUUUUUAUUUUUUAUUUUUCAGGGAAGUACACGCGGGAAGCCUGAGGAGAGUCUGGAGACUGUUUGUGCGUAGUUUUGAACCGCACCGUAACACGGAACUAUAACAUUAUUAACACGAACUGUUUGACUCCCAGUGUAGUGAUGGACGUGUCGCUGAAAAUCGAGUCAUCUGAAAGUGUUAUGCCUCCAUCCUGCGAUGAAAGUCCAGCUGCAACUGAGUCGACUGCGAGCAUUUCUUCUGUAACUGCGGCUCAUCAUGUGGAGCAGCUCAAGGAGCCGACCCCUGUGUUCCUUUACCCUAUCAGUAUAAACAGUCCUGUAUCUGUAUUUAGAGACCAGAAGGUACCCCAUGGUGAGUCUUUUCAUAAAUUGGUGUGUGUGUGUGUGUGUGUGUGUGUGUGUGUGUGUGUGUGUAAUGCACAGUACCAACACAUAUUGCAUGCAAAAAUACAUUCAACAUGUAACUAAAUCAUAACAAAGUAUAUUAGUAUUACAGUGUUAUUGUGACUAGGUAUGUAUUGUUACCGAUACCACACGCAUACUUGUAAAAACAAAUGCUCCAAUACCAUGUGAUACUAUACAGUCCCUCCAGGAUUUUGCAAUUUUGUGACGAAUUAACGAAACGCCGCAAUAUUCAGAGGAGCUUGAAAUUGUUCGAAAUUACCACAGAUUUCGGGCCAAGACGUGGCAAUGUGAGGUCAUCAAAGCAUGCAUUCAUCCAAAGAACUCUUCGAUUCACGUGCGUCGAACAUGAGUAGAGAUAAAAGGUCUUAUUUACCAACAAGCAUCACUGCAAAAGGCCGUGCAAAACAAUUUUGUGGAAUUGCAGUUUUGCCAAUUUGAGUAGUUUUCUGCAAAAAAAAAAGCACAAAAACUCUGCAAAAUUGCAUCACAAAUUUUGAAAAAAGCCACAGCAAAAUCAAGCAUUUUUGGCUGCAAUAAUCACAAAAAAACUCAGUUAAAUCCUGACUAUUUCAGUGGAUCUCAACCAGGGGGGUGUGGAGAGAUCAGAAGGGGGUGCGAAUUUAAAAAAAAUUAUUCACAGACAGGGUAUCAUUUGGGUACUCGGUGCAUUUUAUUGUUUUUCAAGUAAAAUGUGUAUAAAUGAAACGCUCCAUGUUCUCUCUCCUUCUGUAUUUUCUUGUUGCUGGGGAGAGGCCGAGUUUAGCCUGCCUUUUAUCUAGCUGUCAGUGCAGACCAGUGUUGCCAACUUAGCGAAUUUAGUGGCUUUUUUAUUUAAAUAAUAAAUAAAAAAACCCUAGCAACAAAUCUAGCGACUUUUUGGACAAACCUUAGCAACUUUCCAAAUGUUGCCAGUACUGUCCUGCAAGCGUGAGGUCUUGCUUUCCCGCUGCACUCACACCUCGCUCUGCGUCUGCUCUGUUCUUUUUGGGGCUGAGAGCCGGAGAUUUAACAAGACGAGGUCAUACAGCGUCUUCCUGCAAUACAAGUAACCUGAUAAAACGCCUUAUGAAUGUGGAGCACUUACCAGUGAGCGUGGUGAUUAAAAAUAAGUUCACACAAAAUCAUAGGCAAGCACUGAGUAGUAAUGUUAGUGUUUAGAGGAACUGUGACUCAUGAAAGCACUUCAGUUCUGCGAGAACUGAGACACCUUGUGACCACACUUGUAGAUAGCACUCAGGUUGAUCAACCUUGCGCUCUCUAUUAAAGAUACUAAAUGGCAUAAUAUCUUUGCCAUAAAACUCGGCACAUGGAGUUUAUUACUUAUUACUUACUGAUUAGGUUUAUGUACAGUAACUAAGUAGGUUACUCAUUUUGGUAACCAUAUCAGUAUUGACAAGUAUCAUAAAGAGUGCGCUUGUAUACGGUCGGGGGGAUGGUAUUAUUGCAUUCCUAAUACUUACUUUUUCACAGCUGUUAGAAGGGAGGAAGCAAGAAAAGGUACUGCGGCACGGGGCUACCCUGAAGCAGUGUCUACCUCAUCCGAGUUCACCCACCGUGCUAUUGUGCACCUCAUUGAAGCGAUGCAUCGUUGCUGGGACGUGUAUGGCUCCCAUGAACGCUCUCGUCUCUUCCAGAAUGUCCAGAAUGAGCUGGAGAACCUUGGCCACUUGCUGCCAGUAGAAAAGAUUAGAAGAAAAUGGAACAACCUCAUUGUCACAUACAAGAGAGUAAAAGAGCGCAGCAGAUUGGGCAGAGGCCAGGCCAAGACCUCAUGGGAAUACUUUGAGAUGAUGGACAAAGUAUUGGGAAAAACAAAGAUUAAUCAGCACGAUCCUGCUUCAGCCACUCCUGUUGGAGUUGCAACCACAGCUAAAACAGCUGUAAAGUCUGAAGAGCACCAGCCACACAGUGUGUCAGUCGCUGCAGUGGCCACUCCUUGUUUGCUCCCUAGUGGCCUCUUCACCGCACCUUCCCCAGUUCCUACGCUGGUGACAUCCCCUUUGCUGUGUAACACAUCCCCAAAUCCAGACCCAAGCCCUGCAUGCAGCACUGACAGUUCCAUGCCCACGGUUUCCCCCAGACCUGCUUCCAAGAUCACAAGGCAGCCACUGAAACGGAGGUUUCUGCAUCUUCAGCUCGGCUCAGUGGGCUCUCGCAUUGCCCAGCAGCAGGGGCACGCAGGUGAGCGUACUACCCUUCUUCGCAAUUUCAUCACCAGUCAUGAAGAACGCGCACGCCUGG